UACGUAGGGUGCGAGCGUUAAUCGGAAUUACUGGGCGUAAAGCGUGCGCAGGCGGCUUUGCAAGACAGAUGUGAAAUCCCCGGGCUUAACCUGGGAACUGCAUUUGUGACUGCAUGGCUGGAGUGCGGCAGAGGGGGAUGGAAUUCCGCGUGUAGCAGUGAAAUGCGUAGAUAUGCGGAGGAACACCGAUGGCGAAGGCAGCCUCCUGGGCCAACACUGACGCUCAUGCACGAAAGCGUGGGGAGCAAACAGG
RNAcentral lists this ribosomal RNA (253 nucleotides) under uncultured bacterium. Its description in RNAcentral is "partial 16S ribosomal RNA". It matches the Rfam family "Bacterial small subunit ribosomal RNA", at positions 524 to 776 of the family's 1533-position model. The record is from RNAcentral.